CACGUAGGGGACGAGCGUUGUCCGGAUUCAUUGGGCGUAAAGCGCGCGUAGGCGGCUCGGAAAGUCGGUCGUGAAGUGCCGGGGCUCAACCCCGGGACUGCGUCCGAUACUCCCGAGCUGGAGGCAGGUAGGGGAGAUCGGAAUUCCUGGUGUAGCGGUGAAAUGCGCAGAUAUCAGGAGGAACACCGGUGGCGAAGGCGGAUCUCUGGGCCUUGCCUGACGCUGAGGCGCGAAAGCUAGGGGAGCGAACAGG
Molecule: ribosomal RNA, 253 nt
Filed under: uncultured bacterium
Lineage: Bacteria
Description: partial 16S ribosomal RNA
Rfam family: Bacterial small subunit ribosomal RNA
Source: RNAcentral